RNAcentral lists this ribosomal RNA (497 nucleotides) under uncultured bacterium. Its description in RNAcentral is "partial 16S ribosomal RNA". It matches the Rfam family "Bacterial small subunit ribosomal RNA", at positions 28 to 507 of the family's 1533-position model. The record is from RNAcentral.
GAUGAACGCUGGCGGCGUGCCUAAUACAUGCCAGUCGAGCGAACAGACGAGGAGCUUGCUCCUCUGACGUUAGCGGCGGACGGGUGAGUAACACGUGGAUAACCUACCUAUAAGACUGGGAUAACUUCGGGAAACCGGAGCUAAUACCGGAUAAUAUAUUGAACCGCAUGGUUCAAUAGUGAAAGACGGUUUUGCUGUCACUUAUAGAUGGAUCCGCGCCGCAUUAGCUAGUUGGUAUGGUAACGGCUUACCAAGGCAACGAUGCGUAGCCGACCUGAGAGGGUGAUCGGCCACACUGGAACUGAGACACGGUCCAGACUCCUACGGGAGGCAGCAGUAGGGAAUCUUCCGCAAUGGGCGAAAGCCUGACGGAGCAACGCCGCGUGAGUGAUGAAGGUCUUCGGAUCGUAAAACUCUGUUAUUAGGGAAGAACAAAUGUGUAAGUAACUAUGCACGUCUUGACGGUACCUAAUCAGAAAGCCACGGCUAACUACGUG